Molecule: ribosomal RNA, 712 nt
Filed under: uncultured Bacilli bacterium
Lineage: Bacteria; Bacillati; Bacillota; Bacilli
Description: bacterial SSU rRNA
Rfam family: Bacterial small subunit ribosomal RNA
Source: RNAcentral
GCCUAAUACAUGCAAGUCGAACGCUUCUUUUUCCACCGGAGCUUGCUCCACCGGAAAAAGAGGAGUGGCGAACGGGUGAGUAACACGUGGGUAACCUGCCCAUCAGAAGGGGAUAACACUUGGAAACAGGUGCUAAUACCGUAUAACAAUCAAAACCGCAUGGUUUUGAUUUGAAAGGCGCUUUCGGGUGUCGCUGAUGGAUGGACCCGCGGUGCAUUAGCUAGUUGGUGAGGUAACGGCUCACCAAGGCCACGAUGCAUAGCCGACCUGAGAGGGUGAUCGGCCACAUUGGGACUGAGACACGGCCCAAACUCCUACGGGAGGCAGCAGUAGGGAAUCUUCGGCAAUGGACGAAAGUCUGACCGAGCAACGCCGCGUGAGUGAAGAAGGUUUUCGGAUCGUAAAACUCUGUUGUUAGAGAAGAACAAGGAUGAGAGUAACUGUUCAUCCCUUGACGGUAUCUAACCAGAAAGCCACGGCUAACUACGUGCCAGCAGCCGCGGUAAUACGUAGGUGGCAAGCGUUGUCCGGAUUUAUUGGGCGUAAAGCGAGCGCAGGCGGUUUCUUAAGUCUGAUGUGAAAGCCCCCGGCUCAACCGGGGAGGGUCAUUGGAAACUGGGAGACUUGAGUGCAGAAGAGGAGAGUGGAAUUCCAUGUGUAGCGGUGAAAUGCGUAGAUAUAUGGAGGAACACCAGUGGCGAAGGCGGCUCUC